UUCUUAUGAAAUAGGAGUGCCUUCGGAGCGCGAGACAGUGGUGCAUGGUUGUUCGUCAGCUCGUGUCGUGAGAUGUUGGGUUAAGUCCCGCAACGAGCGCAACCCCUAUUGUUAGUUGCCAUCAUUCAGUUGGGCACUCUAAAGAGACUGCCGGUGUCAAACCGGAGGAAGGUGGGGAUGACGUCAAGUCCUCAUGGCCUUUAUGACCAGGGCUACACACGUACUACAAUGGCCGGUACAAAGGGCAGCGACACAGCGAUGUGAAGCCAAUCCCGAAAAGCCGGUCUCAGUCCGGAUUGGAGUCUGCAACUCGACUCCAUGAAGUUGGAAUCGCUAGUAAUCGCGGAUCAGCACGCCGCGGUGAAUACGUUCCCGGGCCUU
RNAcentral lists this ribosomal RNA (381 nucleotides) under uncultured Desulfocapsa sp. Its description in RNAcentral is "bacterial SSU rRNA". It matches the Rfam family "Bacterial small subunit ribosomal RNA", at positions 996 to 1382 of the family's 1533-position model. The record is from RNAcentral. Lineage: Bacteria; Pseudomonadati; Thermodesulfobacteriota; Desulfobulbia; Desulfobulbales; Desulfocapsaceae.